CAAAAGAAUUCAAACCAGAUGAUUCCAAGCGGCUAUUCUUCCAGCCAUAGAAACCUAACGUGCGACGUUCGGGAAUUUUGCCUAAAAUUUAUAGGAGAACAGAAGGAACCAGCCAAGCAAUUGGAUGAGGUAACAUAGUGAUGUUUUUGUUUCCUUUCAAAAAAGUGUAGCCCACAGUAAAAGUGUAGCCCACAAUAAACUUUAGACCACCUCAUAUAUAUGUAUUGGUUUAAUAAAAGAAGUCCAUGAAACAAUUAUAUAGUUUUGUUGGGCAGUAGUGUAAAUGAUUUUUAAAGGAAACAACUUAAUAAUUUCUGUUUAUUAUUUUUAUUAA
Helianthus annuus (common sunflower) is the source of this 334-nucleotide long non-coding RNA. RefSeq lists it as uncharacterized. Lineage: Eukaryota; Viridiplantae; Streptophyta; Magnoliopsida; Asterales; Asteraceae. The record is from RefSeq and is a predicted model, not a curated record. The transcript has 2 exons.